GACGAACGCUGGCGGCGUGCCUAAUACAUGCAAGUAGAACGCUGAAGAGAGGAGCUUGCUCUUCUUGGAUGAGUUGCGAACGGGUGAGUAACGCGUAGGUAACCUGCCUUGUAGCGGGGGAUAACUAUUGGAAACGAUAGCUAAUACCGCAUAACAAUGGAUGACACAUGUCAUUUAUUUGAAAGGGGCAAUUGCUCCACUACAAGAUGGACCUGCGUUGUAUUAGCUAGUAGGUGAGGUAAUGGCUCACCUAGGCGGCGAUACAUAGCCGACCUGAGAGGGUGGUCGGCCACACUGGGACUGUGACACGGCCCAGACUCCUACGGGAGGGAGCAGUAGGGAAUCUUCGGCAAUGGGGGCAAACCUGACCGAGCAACGCCGCGUGAGUGAAGAAGGUUGUCGGAUCGUAAAGUUCUGUUGUAAGUCAAGAACGGGUGUGAGAGUGGAAAGUUCACACUGUGACGGUAGCUUACCAGAAAGGGACGGCUAACUACGUG
RNAcentral lists this ribosomal RNA (497 nucleotides) under uncultured bacterium. RNAcentral's name for it is "partial 16S ribosomal RNA". It matches the Rfam family "Bacterial small subunit ribosomal RNA", at positions 28 to 507 of the family's 1533-position model. The record is from RNAcentral.